CGUCUACCCCGGAGCGCCACCGCCCCGCCACCCCCGCCCAUGGGACCAGUGGUCCCAUCACCGGUCCACCCCCACCCAGAUCUGCCGGAGGUGCACUAGAUCCUUCCUCACGGCCGGUUCCCACGACUCGGUCGCCGCCCCAACCGCUGUAGCAGCCGAGCACCUCCACUAGGUGCCCCGGCGGUUCGGACCCCCACCUGGCUCCUCCCUCGAACCCAGCGAGCCUCCGCCCCGGCCUACUUCCCGCGCGAGGUCGCCUCCGCCUCCUCCUGGUGCACCGCCGCCUCCACCAUCUUCCGACACAAGGCCGUCCCCUCCUUCAGGGUGAGGUGGAUUUGCCUGUAAUGAAAUCCAAAGACAUGGCUCAAUUUUUUUUCUUUGAAUGGCUUCUACCAAAGAAGCAUGUCAACACACACCCAUGGAUGGAUGGGGAUGGGGCGACGACGGCGGCUGUGGCGGCCUUCUCUCGGUGCUUGCUGAUGUGGUGGAUAUCGAUGUCGGUGACGGGUUGCAGCACGUAGAUGUCAAAGGCUGCGGGUGUAACGGAGGAGCACCAUGGCGGGUGUGCAGGCCAUGGCUCGCUAUGGAAGGCCCUUCCCUUCCCUCUCUCUGUUCGGGCCAUGCUCAGGCACGACGACCUAUGGAAGGAAGGGGACGCCAACGACCUAUGGAAGGGAGGGAAGGGGAGGCCGGUGAAUUGGGGUAGGGGAUGCGGGUGACCUGGGGAAGGGCGGUCGGGGGCUGUUUAGCUCGCCGUCGCUGUCGGCAGCCGGCGGACACCACCCGUCGCUUGGAGGACGACAGUAAUGGAGUAAGAGGGGGCGUAUCGGGAAGGAGUUUUGGGCGAUGGGAGGAGGGGAACAGCAGCCGCGCUAGGCAGCAAGCCUCGCCGUGCCGCUUGGUGGCCGAGAUGUGGCCGCCCCAUGCUCUGAUCCGAUGGGCCUCCUCUGCUUGAUGGUUGCACUUGUUGAGUUUGGUACGGUUUCCUAUUGUUAGCUGUGUCGAGCCUUGGGUCUUGUCUCUUCUUUGCAUUGAGGUUAGUCCACUCCUAUGUGCUUGCCUAUAUAAUGCUCGGUGAAAUGUGUGUGUGUUGAUGCUUGUUCUACGGUUCAACCUACUUCUCCUAUCACUGUUGCUUCUUCUUCUCGUCCGUCCUGCUGCUUACCCAAUGUGCUUCUGCUUGCUGCCUGAGGUUGUACGAUCUCUUCUGUCGCUGUGUCUCAUCAAGUUCAUUACAACACCAAUUAUGGAUAUGGAUCCAUCUUGCUGCACUGGAUGUAAUAAGAAUUGCAUGUGAUAAGCAGGCGCCUCCUGUAGGUAUGAAUUUUUGCUAAUAUCAUUGAAUUUCUCCUGAGAUCUCUCUAGACCUUUCCAAAUGUAUUUUAGUUCAGUGUUUGUAUUAACUAGCAGAAGAAGGGAUGCUAAUGGAAAGAAUUUGAGAUGCAUAAACAUGAAAGCACUAAAAGAUUUGCUCGAAGCAAAGAUGGCUAGCCGAGAUACAUAUGGCAAGAAUCUUCGGAGAUUGACAUCUUUUCAUCUUCUAUUGAGAUAUACUUGCCCAUGGGUCACAACUCAUGAAGUUACUUCCUUUUGGUUUUGAUUUUGAAUUAUAUGUGUCAUAGGUCUCAACUGAUGAAGUUACUUCCUUUUGGUGAAGGUCUGAAUGUCAUCACGAUCUUGGCUGAGAGGCAGACAUUUUGGAAGUCUGUUAUUGCCGUUAUCUUCUUGGGAGUACUUGAGAAGGCGUGGCUGGGAAUGUGGGGACACGCCAUGGCAGAGGCGCAUGUUCGGCAGGAGGAGUCAGGGAGGCAUGAAGGUGGACAUGUGGAUGUUAUCGUGGCAUUGACACAUUUCUCUCCACCGAUGCUAUAUACCAGGGUGAGUGAAUGCUAUCGUGGCCUUAGAUGCCCUGUCUAAUUCUUGCUUGAAUUUUUGGUUUUGUAUGCUUGGAUGUAUGUUCAGUUCCUACAUUGUUUUUCUCAUGUGGAGUUGAAACCACAUUUGGUUGCUCCAAUAGCAAAUAAUUGUAUGUUUCACUCUGAAAUCAUAUUGCAUAUAGAGAGAUGUUCAUUGUUAGUCAUCGGGUUGUGGUAUGAAUUGACAACUUUCAUAGUCAGCUUACCAUGUCAUCUAUUAAGAAUCAAGCAAAUUUGGGCCUCUAAAAAACACUCAGGUUGACGCAGUAAUUUUGGCAAAAUGAGAUACUAUGAUUUUCCUCUCUUUAAUUUUGAAUUACCUUUGACAAGAAAAUGUUUCCUGUUUUUUGGUCUAACCUGUCGUAAUUUUGUCUUGUUGGUCCAUCUAUAUGAGAACCUUCUAAGUGGAAGUCACAUGGUGGAGCCUUUGACAGGAAAAUGUUUGUCUUGUCUGUCCAUCUAUAUGAGAACCUUCUAAGUGGAAGUCACAUGGUGGAGUCUCAGUAUGUCAAGUACAGUUUGAUUAAGUACAGUUUGAUUAGUAUGACAAGUCAUGUCAGCGGGAUGAAUAUUUACGAGGUUGAUUAUCUCCCAGGAAGACAACUAGAAAGGUCAUCAUUUGUAUAUUUCCUCUUCGGAGGGUGAUCUCGUCGCCCACGGAGAAGCAAUCCAAGGAGAAGAUAGUAGGUUCUGCGCCCAACCUCUGCUCCCUAUCAAAGGAGGGGAAGUGGUUGCGAGCAUGCCAUCAGCGUUGGGUCGAUGGUGUUGUGCCUCGGCAGCUGGGAUCAUGCAAGGCAGAUGGGAAGCAACAGUGCCGCCUCUCCCCCCGAGCUCCAAAUACAUGAUAGCAGCAUCGAGGAGGAGAAAAACUGCAUUCAGAGGUUACGGAAUGGCAAUGGGUGGGUUACCUCCCAGGAGCAGAUGACUGGCAUGGUUAGUGCUCUAGGCCAUGAAUCUCAUGGAUCCCAUGAUACAGUAUUUUUAUGGUGCAUGUAUCUGGUCCAAAUCCGACGGAGACAAGCAAAAUCGUGCUGCUUCUUCUUCUUUCGAUUCUACUAUGGGUACAAGCAACUUCUAUUUCGCUCGUCACCGGAAACCACCGCCCAGAUCCAUCUCUUCUCAACCAUGCCGACGUGGUGGUCAGGGGCGCUUACAACUUGUGAGGGCCUGCAUUCUCGCUGUUGAUCCGUGAUGGCAUGUCCUCCCCGCGCCCUAGCCGCGUUUUAGCUGAUGGUUUGGGUCUGCCGGUGGAGGGAGAGGGGGCGACCUCUGUCGCUCCUUCUCUCUAGCCUCUUCAUCUUGAUGAAGCUGUAGGAGUAGAGGGGCAUGCGCGUGAUGGAUCUGCUCCAAGCACCUCAAGCCACGCAUCUUCAAGGGAUUAAACGAUUGAUGAAAAGGCUUGUCAUAGAAGAGAGAUGGUGAGAGAGAACAUAAUGGAGUGGAAUUUCAUGACAAGCUUCCACAAAAUUCAAAGAAUCUACGGGGAUAUGAGACAAGAGAGUGAAUUCUUUUCACUUGUAUCAUCUUGGCCCUGUAUUAAAAAAGAGAGUCUGGGACUAUUAUAGGGGUCUUAUUUUGAGAAAUAUUAUAAGGGACUAUGGGACGGUGCGAUCAGUUGCUACCAUGGUUAUCAAUGUAUUCGUGAGUAAUUGCAGGUUUUCUUUGCCACAAAGGUGCACACAUAUUGUAGUAAGCCACAUGGUUUUGUAGCUUCAGGCAUGAGACUAAAACCGUUCUCUAUUUUUUCCUUAAUUGUAGUCAGUGGGUACCACAUAUUUCUUUUGAUAGAUUGUGACAUGUUUCUACUUUUUACACCACAAUCGUACUCUCGUAGAUGGACAUGAAGAAUAUUUGCCUGGUGAAAAUGCGAUUUUGAGUGCGGUGAAUUUUGCCUGAUAUGUAUUCUUGUUGUAUGGUGGAUGGGAAAGAGCGACACGGCCUUUCCAUUGAUCCAUCACCAAUUCCUUCUGAUUCCAUUCACAUCAGCCCUCCGUCGCCGGUGGAUGACAACGGCGAGGUGCGGCUGGGACUCCAUGAGGAGGCCGCAAAUAAGAAAUGUGAUGGUUUUGUUUCUCUCUUUACAUAUUUCUUUUUCUUAAGGGCAGACGAGAAAAAUUGAUGAAACAUGUAAGUUGUCAAAUUCUUUUGCUUUAUCUUGAGAAGUGCAAGUUUUCUAAAAAUUGUGAUGCAAAUUUGGUAAGGUGGUAGAGAUCCUCAACAUAUAAUAUUGUAUAUGCUCCUCCUCAGGAUGUAGUGAACUAGGGAUCUAUUAUGCUUUUUCUUGACCAAAUCCAAAGUACUAUUAUUAGGAGGUCCACCUGUUCUUAAACCAUGUGUACAUGAUUUCCUUUUUGUAUUUGUUUUAGUAUAUCUUCCAGUCUUCUUAAUGAUUUUUCACAUAUGUGUUUCUAUGUCAGUGCUGCUCGGAGUGGUGCAUACAACGUCCAGUUUUGCUUGGCUGAUACACAUGUGGACCAUGACUUGCUUCCCUUUAUUUUGCUCACUGAACAGGUGCCAUUAACUC
RNA transcript from Triticum dicoccoides, 4440 nucleotides. RefSeq lists it as uncharacterized. The transcript has 11 exons. The record is from RefSeq and is a predicted model, not a curated record. NCBI's taxonomy places the organism in Eukaryota, Viridiplantae, Streptophyta, Magnoliopsida, Poales, Poaceae.